RNAcentral lists this transfer RNA (68 nucleotides) under Dipodomys ordii (Ord's kangaroo rat). It matches the Rfam family "tRNA". Rfam says of the family: Transfer RNA (tRNA) molecules are approximately 80 nucleotides in length. Their secondary structure includes four short double-helical elements and three loops (D, anti-codon, and T loops). The record is from Rfam by way of RNAcentral. Lineage: Eukaryota; Metazoa; Chordata; Mammalia; Rodentia; Heteromyidae.
UAAUAUGGCUUAGUGCUAGAGUGCUUGCCUAGCAUGCAGGAAGCACUGGGUUCAACUCCUCAGUAUUA